GAUGAACGCUGGCGGCGUGCCUAAUACAUGCAAGUCGAGCGAACAGACGAGGAGCUUGCUCCUCUGACGUUAGCGGCGGACGGGUGAGUAACACGUGGAUAACCUACCUAUAAGACUGGGAUAACUUCGGGAAACCGGAGCUAAUACCGGAUAAUAUAUUGAACCGCAUGGUUCAAUAGUGAAAGACGGUUUUGCUGUCACUUAUAGAUGGAUCCGCGCCGCAUUAGCUAGUUGGUAAGGUAACGGCUUACCAAGGCGACGAUGCGUAGCCGACCUGAGAGGGUGAUCGGCCACACUGGAACUGAGACACGGUCCAGACUCCUACGGGAGGCAGCAGUAGGGAAUCUUCCGCAAUGGGCGAAAGCCUGACGGAGCAACGCCGCGGGAGUGAUGAAGGUCUUCGGAUCGUAAAACGCUGUUAUGAGGGAAGAACAAAUGUGUAAGUAACUAUGCAGGUCUGGACGGUACCUAAUCAGAAAGCCACGGCUAACUACGU
Molecule: ribosomal RNA, 496 nt
Filed under: uncultured bacterium
Lineage: Bacteria
Description: partial 16S ribosomal RNA
Rfam family: Bacterial small subunit ribosomal RNA
Source: RNAcentral